AGUGAACGCUGGCGGUAGGCCUAACACAUGCAAGUCGAACGGCAGCACAGUAAGAGCUUGCUCUUACGGGUGGCGAGUGGCGGACGGGUGAGGAAUACAUCGGAAUCUACUUUUUCGUGGGGGAUAACGUAGGGAAACUUACGCUAAUACCGCAUACGACCUACGGGUGAAAGCAGGGGAUCUUCGUACCUUGCGCGAUUGAAUGAGCCGAUGUCGGAUUAGCUAGUUGGCGGGGUAAAGGCCCACCAAGGCGACGAUCCGUAGCUGGUCUGAGAGGAUGAUGAGCCACACUGGAAGUGAGACACGGUCCAGACUCCUACGGGAGGCAGCAGUGGGGAAUAUUGGACAAUGGGCGCAAGCCUGAUCCAGCCAUACCGCGUGGGUGAAGAAGGCCUUCGGGUUGUAAAGCCCUUUUGUUGGGAAAGAAAAGCAGCAGGUUAAUACCCCGCUGUUCUGACGGUACCCAAAGAAUAAGCACCGGCUAACUUCGUG
This 492-nucleotide ribosomal RNA is filed under the name uncultured bacterium. RNAcentral describes it as "partial 16S ribosomal RNA". It matches the Rfam family "Bacterial small subunit ribosomal RNA", at positions 29 to 507 of the family's 1533-position model. The record is from RNAcentral.